UCCUAAAUUAAUAAAUUACUCUUUUUGUUUUUAAGCUAAGUUUUGGAGUCUUGAAUUCUUGCAAAAGUUAUCCUUCCCAAACCCCAGGGGUACACAUCUGAACUCCAUAACAUUUUUGGUGCCCAACAUGUUUGGCUCUCCUGAAAGCUACUCUUUUACCCCGGAUCAUCCACGAGGACGCAGCUUCUAAGUGCUUUGCAGAAGGCUGCAACAAUCUCCUCAGAAAACUGGGAGAAAAUACCUUCCAUUGUCUGGGAUCAAGGCAUACUGGGAAGAGCCCUUCAGGCGGAUCAGAUUAUACUGGACUUAAGCCACUCAAGUGCAAACAGUGCCUCCAGCAAUCGUCAAUAGAGAAAGACAGCCUGGCUGCUUCUAACAGCACACCUGGCACUGGGAGCCGACUGCCAGAGGAAUAAAACCUUUGAACAUCAGCUGAAUCCCUGGCUGGAUUUUCUUUACCCCUUUUAGAAAAUCAAUUAUUUAGAGGGCAGCGGAUCAACUUAACUAAAAUGAAAUG
Molecule: long non-coding RNA, 517 nt
Filed under: Monodelphis domestica (gray short-tailed opossum)
Lineage: Eukaryota; Metazoa; Chordata; Mammalia; Didelphimorphia; Didelphidae
Description: lncRNA (ENSMODG00000035726.2)
Source: RNAcentral